UUUCGUGUGCAGAGGCAGCGUGGAGGGCCGUGGCGGUACUAUCAGGGGUACACUCUCAGGGUCAGUCUCCCAGGGUAGACUCUCAGGGCCAGUCUCCCAGGGUCACCUCCCUGACAACUGAUCAAUCACCCUUGCCCCACCGCAUUCUGCAUAAGCUGUAUUUUCAGCAUCGUUUAUAUGUUCACGGGACUAGCAUCCUUCUGCUGCAGCAGCCACGGGGCGCCCCUAGUACCUAGGGUAGAGAUCCUUGUCGCAAGCAUACGCGCUCCUAGUGUCCUAGGGAGAGGUCCCUGUGACGGCACAUGUACCCGGUGAGGGACUCCAGCAGGAACGCCACCAGGGACACGAGGAGCCCGGCCCCCAGCAACAGCCACGCGCCCUGCACCACACAUCAGGCAGCCCCUGGCCUAACCUUUGGCAUCCCCAUGCCGAAGAAGAUAGCGGUGCCGUAGAAGAGGUUGUUACCGAAGUUGGUGGCCCACGUUGUCUCGUCUUGGAGGAAGUAGUGGGCGAGGCGGGACGCGAGGUACAGGAGCGGCGUCCCCGCCAUCAGGAACGCCAGGUGGACCUACCGUCAUAGUGGUAGACGCCCGAGGCCUCCUGAAUCUGCACUAUGGAGGGAGCGUGCUCGAAGGUCACCGCCCGCAGCUCGUUGCCGUGGAAGUUGUUCAGCUUGUCGGGGAAGAGGUGGGAGGGACGCUGAGUUGAUUCCCGCUGCCAGCGCCCUGCCAGGUACACGACCUCCGCCACGUCCUUCCGGAACACCUGGUGGCUCCAGAGGUGGUAGUCUGUGCCGCGCCUCUUGUCACUCUCCUGCCAGGGGGCAUUGGACAAAAUGAACACCAUGUCUGAUGCAUCACAAUCCAGCCACUGAAUGUUCAGUGUAACCACACUAGAGACCAUUGGCAGACCAUUAAUGCCAUGAAAAAUGGCAAGCACUUGGAAGAACCUGGAAGAUCUUGGUGAUGAAUAUAUUACAGGUAGUUAACCUGAAUAUUAUUCCUAAGAAUAUGAAAUAAACUGCUCUAACAGCAAGAAAAGUGUGACUGAGGAGUGGAGGUGUAGCUGCUGACUAACAUGAUGAUGCACUCACAGCACUCAAAUUUUGAGAUCCAAAAUGACACAUUUGUUGCAACAUCAGAGUCUGGUGAAAAUGUGGUGGGAAAGUGAUCAUUAUAGUGGAGACUAUAUGCUGGUGUUCAUAGUCCAAGGUAAAACCAGCUUCAUUGCAAUAAAUUGUAUGUUGUCCAUUGCAGAAAAUUUGCUUCCACAAUUAAUAAUGUGAAAAUAAGUGAUAGUGUUUUGUACUAAUUGUAGUACUAGUGAUCAUCAUUGAGCACUGAUCAUUGUGCAGGCUCUAUAUCAUGAUCAUGAAGGAGAGAAUGUGUCAAGUAGAACAAAUUUUAUGCCACAAGAAACAAAUUUUGAUGGAGAAAAAGUUAGUUUGUUUUAUUGAGCAUGGAAUCCUGAAUAAUAUCCAUCAUAAGUGAAACAAUCUUCUAUACCAGUAAGGGAAAUCAGAUUGUAUUGAGUAACCCUCACUACCCCAAAUUUGUGGCAUGAUGCAUAUACUCAUGCAAUAGAAGUGAUGUAGUCGUGUGCUCU
Procambarus clarkii (red swamp crayfish) is the source of this 1605-nucleotide long non-coding RNA. RefSeq lists it as uncharacterized. NCBI's taxonomy places the organism in Eukaryota, Metazoa, Arthropoda, Malacostraca, Decapoda, Cambaridae. The record is from RefSeq and is a predicted model, not a curated record.